Molecule: microRNA precursor, 234 nt
Filed under: Oryza sativa (Asian cultivated rice)
Lineage: Eukaryota; Viridiplantae; Streptophyta; Magnoliopsida; Poales; Poaceae
Description: miR812a stem-loop (osa-MIR812a)
Gene: osa-MIR812a
Rfam family: MIR812 microRNA precursor family (bases 14-221)
Source: miRBase by way of RNAcentral
ACCUCCGUCCCAAAAUAAGUGCAGUUUUACACUAUUCAUCUCCAAAGUUUGAUCGUUCGUCUUAUUUGAAAAUUUUUUAUGAUUACUAUUUUUAUUGUUAUUACAUGAUAAAACAUGAAUAGUAUUUUAUGUGUGACUAAUUUUUUUAAAAAUUUUCAUAAAUUUUUCAAAUAAGACGGACGGUUAAACGUUGGACACGGAUUUUCACGGCUGCACUUAUUUUGAAACGGAGGU